GACACACGAAGUCUGGAGCAAAACAAAAACACAACAGACUGUUCGAACUGCUCCUCUGACACAAACACUAAUAACCUACUGAGAAAAGAGACAGGAGAAACUGACUCUAUGGACUCAGACUCUGGUUUUGACCCUACGAAGAACGGAUCAAUGGAGAUUUCCUUCUACUGCUCAAGCACCAGCCUCCUGUAAAACAUAAUUUGAGGAACUUCCCUACAGCCAGCCUGGCAUGGUAUAUGAGGCGGGAGCCGUGAUGUCUUCUGCCCGGAGACGCCAGAGAAGAAAGAGACAACUGGAUCCAAGGAAGACAGUACUUGCUUCAGAUGAAAUGGAGUUGUGGAGGGG
Amphiprion ocellaris (clown anemonefish) is the source of this 345-nucleotide long non-coding RNA. Lineage: Eukaryota; Metazoa; Chordata; Actinopteri; Pomacentridae. The record is from Ensembl.